CGUAGGGGGCAAACGUUGUCCGGAAUGACUGGGCGUAAAGGGCGAGUAGGUGGUUUGCCAAGUCAGGAGUGAAAACUCCGGGCUCAACCUGGAGAUUGCUACUGAAACUGGCAGACUUGAGUGCAGGAGAGGGAAGCGGAAUUCCUAGUGUAGCGGUGAAAUGCGUAGAUAUUGGGAGGAACACCAGUGGCGAAGGCGGCUUCCUGGCCUGUAACUGACACUGAGGCGCGAAAGCGUGGGGAGCGAACAGGAUU
Molecule: ribosomal RNA, 254 nt
Filed under: uncultured bacterium
Lineage: Bacteria
Description: partial 16S ribosomal RNA
Rfam family: Bacterial small subunit ribosomal RNA
Source: RNAcentral